Molecule: small RNA, 156 nt
Filed under: Brevibacillus borstelensis
Lineage: Bacteria; Bacillati; Bacillota; Bacilli; Caryophanales; Paenibacillaceae
Also listed under: 1 other name
Description: c-di-AMP sequence
Rfam family: c-di-AMP riboswitch aptamer (ydaO/yuaA leader)
About the family: This family represents a conserved RNA structure found upstream of the ydaO and yuaA genes in Bacillus subtilis and related genes in other bacteria. The ydaO/yuaA element is thought to act as a genetic "off" switch for the ydaO and yuaA genes in its native state. It is believed that the element may be triggered during osmotic shock leading to activation of ydaO, a predicted amino acid transporter gene, and members of the yuaA-yubG operon which code for KtrA and KtrB K+ transporters.
Source: RNAcentral
CAAACAAACAAGCCGAAACUUCCAAAGAAGUGGAAGUGCGGGGGACUUCUUUUUGUAGAGUUAGCCACUCUGCAUUGGGGUGAAUCACGCUUGUGAAGGGUUGUAUCCUCAGCCCGAACCCGACAACUAACCUCGUAGGCGAAGAAAAGGAGACGA